RNAcentral lists this non-coding RNA (199 nucleotides) under Alistipes sp. The record is from RNAcentral. Lineage: Bacteria; Pseudomonadati; Bacteroidota; Bacteroidia; Bacteroidales; Rikenellaceae. RNAcentral also lists the same sequence under 1 other name.
AUCUUUGUCUUCGUACAAGGUUUCCCCGCCGGCCUCCGCCGGUGCGGGAUGAAAAGGGAACUCCUGUGUGAUUCAGGGACUAUGCCCGUAGCUGUAAGCUCCGCAUCCGUCCGCACACUCUUGGCCACUGCCCCUCGGAGGGCGGGAAGGCGUGCGGCGGGGAGCAAGUCAGAAGACCUGCCUUGGGGAACAUGCCGUC